This 253-nucleotide ribosomal RNA is filed under the name uncultured bacterium. RNAcentral describes it as "partial 16S ribosomal RNA". It matches the Rfam family "Bacterial small subunit ribosomal RNA", at positions 524 to 776 of the family's 1533-position model. The record is from RNAcentral.
UACGUAGGGGGCAAGCGUUGUUCGGAAUUACUGGGCGUAAAGGGCGCGUAGGCGGCUGCGUAAGUCGGGUGUGAAAGCCCCGGGCUCAACUUGGGAAUUGCAUUCGAGACUGCGUGGCUAGGGUGCGGAAGAGGGAAGCGGAAUUUCCGGUGUAGCGGUGAAAUGCGUAGAUAUCGGAAGGAACACCAGUGGCGACAGCGGCUUCCUGGUCCAGCACCGACGUUCAGGCACGAAAGCGUGGGGAGCAAACAGG